This 231-nucleotide long non-coding RNA is filed under the name Elaeis guineensis (African oil palm). RNAcentral's name for it is "long non-coding RNA (EGUI_LNC013414)". Lineage: Eukaryota; Viridiplantae; Streptophyta; Magnoliopsida; Arecales; Arecaceae. The record is from RNAcentral.
UAUUUCAUGAUGAAAUCUCAUUUCGUCAUUAAAGAUAUUAAUCAAAAUGAUUUGUUAUGAUCAAUUUUUAUUAUCAUCACCAAAUAUGAGGCUUCAGUGACUAGAUUUAUAUUUUGCUACUAAAAGUUCAUCAAUAAAAGACUAAAUUCUUAUAGUGAAAGACAUAAUAUAAGGGAGUAAAACGAUCAUAAGAUAUAGUGGUGGAAAGAGAUUGAACAGUAUCGAAGGAGG